GCGGGGUCGGCCGGCCGCCUUCGCUGCUCCGCCGCGGCUCUCAGCGCCGCUCAGCGCGGCGGGCCCGCCCGGGCUCAGGUGCCCCCCGCUCUCCGGACCUUCUCGCCCGGCCCCGCGUCCCCUCCGCGGGCUUCCCCCGGCGGCCGGCCGGGCUCGGAGGCUCGCGGCCGGAGCGGAGCGGAGUGCGCACGCCGGGGUGGCAGGACUUCGGCAAGACCAACUUUCCGUGGUCCUGUCUGGUGUGAACCGUCAGCACAGAUGGCCUCCUGGAGCUUCCCCGAGUCGUUCGCUGGGGGAAGCGGGCGGUGAGCGGCCAGCCCGGGCGCUCCGCAGGCCGCGAGCUCCCGGCAGGGCUGGUGGCGGGGGUCCGCCUGGGGGAGGAAUCCCCGCCUGCUCCAUCGGACCCGGCCUGGCGCGGCUCGCGGCGCUCGGCGGGCUCCCUUCCAUUCUAGAAUCUUCCCGCUUGCUUCCCAGCCCGCGUUCUUCCGCCUGCCUUUAAUUGUGUAAGUUUGACGAAGUCAGAGCUUUGGGUUCCAGGAAAAGCGCAGGAGGGUCAUAGAGGAAGGGAGGGCGCAGGUUGGAGUCAGGUCCAAACAGUCCCUAUCGCCACUUUUGAAAAAAAAAAAAAACAACAAAAACCCUUAAGGUUGGUUUUAUUUUGCCUUUUGGUAGCGGGCGUAUUCAUUUAGAUUUUUUUUUCAAGACAGGCAAAUAAAAGGUGUUUGAAAUCUCUAGUUAUCCCGUUUAACACACCCAUCGAUGGCGCUUUUCUAGUUAAGCUACGGGGGAAACGUCUUUAUCCCGCAGUUAGGCUGCGAACUUGUGCAGAUGCUCAGGCUUUGUGGAGACGCUCCGGCAUCUGGCGCAGAGGCGCCCGGCGGGGAAAAGUUUGCAGCCCGGGCUUUGGGGCGCGCGGGGGGCAGGAAUUUUUCUGAGAAGAGAGGGGCAUAGAGAGGCGGCGCGGGUGGGGAGAGAAAAAAGGAACGCAGGGGGGAGGGGGAAAAGCAGCUUGCAGGAUGGGAGUUUCUUGCAGAAUUUACAGGAUUAAGGAGUUUGGGGAAGUCGCAGAGCUGCAGCGGAAAGGCAGGGGUCUGAGACUACUUUUGAGAAGAGAAACAACGCAAAACGAUCGCUGGAGGGCCAGAGCCCUGGUCGAAGAAGCAGACACAGGUUCCCACGGCGUCUGACGCCUGCGGAGCAAGUCCAGAGCCAGCUGGACUCGCAGCCUCUGGCCCGGCGGCACCAACUCCUCACUGGGUCAUUUUGAGCGCGCUGUGCCCACCUUUUCUGUUGCGUGUGGACGUGGGGAGGAUCUUCUAAGUCCCUCCAACGAAGGCAAGUGUGAGACUCUGGCCCUUUAUUUGUAAGAAGCAAGCCUUCAGAUUGCAGAAGUGUCGCGCGGGUCGCCGUGCGUUGCGCGAGUGGGAAGAUGGAGGAGGCCGGCACGCUGCUUUCGUGGACGCAAGUGAACCGGGCGUGAAGGCAGGGUGCGAGCUCUGCCCUUGGCCCAGCCCUGCGUGGGCGCCGUCCCAGAUUCCGGGCGGUGCGGGGUGCAGAGAUCUGGAGAGACUUGCGGGCUCCCCAGCGCAGGCUGCUCUGGGAUUUCGUUGGAAGAUCCGGCAGAGCCUUGGAGGAGAGGGCCCGGGAGGCUGUGUGUGCAGCGGAAACUUGUACGAAUGCCCCCACAGCGGAAAUGGUGCGCACGAGUAAUUUCUGCGGUGCACCCUUUUAAAAAUUGACAAGUGAACAAGAUCAAUUUUUUAAGAAAGCAAAGGUAGAAAACAAAAGGCGUGCGACUUCUUGACUGGCUUGUUCCCGCCUUUCUUCCUUCUCUAUACUCAGAUCAGAAACUUUUCUUUAAUUGCUCUUAUUCAGUGCGACAACUUUUAAUAAAAGCAUUUGCAUUUUAAGCCUGAGUUGCAACCAUAGAUUUAUUGCGAAGUGACAACGUGUCUAUGGAAUAUUUUCGCAGAUGAGACAGGACAUGCGCUCUAGUCGUGCCCAGAUUAAAGCGACGCUGGGCCAUGUGCCUGUGUAGUGCAGACUCGGAGGGGCACACACAUACUCGUCACCACAUGACCACUGUCUAUUAAUAUUGUCAUACCUAAACACUCGCAAAAACAAAAGUUGCUUUUCUUCCCUGUAAUUAAAUCUAAUUUG
Molecule: long non-coding RNA, 2160 nt
Filed under: Homo sapiens (human)
Lineage: Eukaryota; Metazoa; Chordata; Mammalia; Primates; Hominidae
Description: HSALNT0253724
Source: RNAcentral